Molecule: small nuclear RNA, 106 nt
Organism: Artibeus jamaicensis (Jamaican fruit-eating bat)
Lineage: Eukaryota; Metazoa; Chordata; Mammalia; Chiroptera; Phyllostomidae
Source: RefSeq, a predicted model, not a curated record
GUGUUCACUUUGGCGGCACAUAUACUAAAAUUGGGAUGAUACAAAGAAGAUUGUAUGGCUCCCGUGCAAGGACAACACGCAAAUCAAUGAAGCGCUCCAUGUUUUG